This 443-nucleotide ribosomal RNA is filed under the name uncultured bacterium. RNAcentral describes it as "bacterial SSU rRNA". It matches the Rfam family "Bacterial small subunit ribosomal RNA", at positions 28 to 507 of the family's 1533-position model. The record is from RNAcentral.
GAUGAACGCUGGCGGUAUGCCUAACACAUGCAAGUCGUACGAGAGUUUUUAACUCUAGUGGCGGACGGGUGAGUAACACGUGAGAAUUUGCCUUUAGGAGGGGGACAACAAUUGGAAACGAAUGCUAAUACCCCAUAUGCUUUCGAGUGAAAUGGAUUUUAUCCGCCUAGAGAGAAGCUCGCGGCUGAUUAGCUUGUUGGUAAGGUAAGAGCUUACCAAGGCGACGAUCAGUAUCUGGUUUGAGAGGACGAUCAGACACACUGGAACUGAGACACGGUCCAGACUCCUACGGGAGGCAGCAGUGGGGGAAUUUUCCGCAAUGGGCGAAAGCCUGACGGAGCAAUACCGCGUGAGGGAAGAAUGCCUAUGGGUUGUAAACCUCUUUUUCUAGGGAGGAAUAAAAUAGACGUGUACCUGAAGAAUAAGCAUCGGCUAACUCCGUG